GACGAACGCUGGCGGCGUGCUUAACACAUGCAAGUCGAACGGGCCUGCCUGGCUUUGGUUGGGUGGGUGAGUGGCGAACGGGUGAGUAACACGUGAGUAACCUGCCCUCUUCUCUUGGAUAACUGCUUGAAAGGGCGGCUAAUACGGGAUGUUCUGGCUGCCUCGCAUGGGGUGGUUUGGAAAGAUUCGGCCUGGUUUUGGUUGUUUUGGUGGGGGAUGGGCUCGCGGCUUAUCAGCUUGUUGGUGGGGUGAUGGCCUACCAAGGCGGUGACGGGUAGCCGGCCUGAGAGGGUGGACGGUCACACUGGGACUGAGACACGGCCCAGACUCCUGCGGGAGGCAGCAGUGGGGGAUUUUGCACAAUGGGCGCAAGCCUGAUGCAGCGACGCCGCGUGAGGGAUGGAGGCCUUCGGGUUGUGAACCUCUGUCGCCGGUGAUGUAGGCUCUGCU
This 450-nucleotide ribosomal RNA is filed under the name Actinomyces sp. oral taxon 448. Its description in RNAcentral is "bacterial SSU rRNA". It matches the Rfam family "Bacterial small subunit ribosomal RNA", at positions 28 to 458 of the family's 1533-position model. The record is from RNAcentral. Lineage: Bacteria; Bacillati; Actinomycetota; Actinomycetes; Actinomycetales; Actinomycetaceae.